Dreissena polymorpha is the source of this 2448-nucleotide RNA transcript. It is a transcript of the gene named integumentary mucin C.1-like, with no coding region annotated. The transcript is spliced from 7 exons. The record is from RefSeq and is a predicted model, not a curated record. Lineage: Eukaryota; Metazoa; Mollusca; Bivalvia; Myida; Dreissenidae.
AAAAGAUACAUGCAUCUUUUGACGAUUUAAAACCUGAACAUAAUAAAGCGUUGCAACGCGAAACGAUUGAAAAAAUUGGAGGGUUCUGUUGUUGUAGUUAUAUUUUGUGAUACUACGAUGACUGCUUAUGUUGUUGUAGUUAUAUUUUGUGAUACUACGAUGACUGCUUAUAUAAAGUAUUAAAAUACUUGAUACAUAAUGCAGUCUUAUGUUUGGAAGGACCUUAAACAUAAACAUACACGAUCGGAUGUUGAUACCGGUUAUAAUCAAAGGGACGUAACAGUGUUGCGGAAUAUGAUUUGAAGACGCUGCAUGAUUGACCUUCGAUAAAUCAUACCAGGAAAAUCUAAAACAUACCAGAAAAAUCUAGCGCAUGGCAGUGUGUUAUCCGAUACAUGGUACUUCAGUCGGCAUUAUUGGGGAUUCCCCGGUGUAUUGUGUUAACGUAGCUAACACACUACAUAGUGCUGAUGUGAUAUUUAGAACAUGCUGUGAUUGAAUACAUUGCAAAGGUCAUGCAUGUUAUGAAUGUUAUAGUGUAUGUUACGAAUGUUAAAGUGUAUGUUACGAAUGUUAUACCUCGUUUAUAAUGAUGGAUUCGUUUGAACAAAGCAGUGGGAUAAUAAAGUGAUACACACGCUGUUUUAUUAUUCGAAAGUGAAGGACAAAAAUGGUGUUUGGAACAGCAGAGAAGACAAAUGGAGAUGCCGAAGCGGGCAGUGACGACACCAAUGACGUUACUUCUUCUGCCAUAUCGGACGCCGUUCCUAUUGCACCGGACGGCGGCUAUGGGUGGGUCAUCGUGUUUGCGGUCUUCUGCGGGAAUCUGAUCAUCGAUGGCUGCGCCGGGAGCUUCGGGAUUCUAUAUCCGGAACUCUUGACAGCAUUCGGCGCCAGCGACGCCUUGACCUCUAUGGCUGGAUCGCUCAUCGUGGCGGUUUUCCUGUUCUCCAGUCCGCUAGUAGGGGGCCUUGUCAACCGGUUUGGCUGUCGACUUGUGUGCUUUGUUGGCGGGAUUUUGACAACGAUGGGCUUCAUCCUAGCCACUUUUGCAGGAAGCAUUUACGUCUUUAUGCUAACAUACGGCAUAAUAGGAGGGCUGGGCAUUGGCUUCAACUCACUGAGCGGUCAAGUAAUGGUUAACAGUUAUUUUAGCAGACGUCGCGGUAUUGCUGGGGGCAUUGUGUCUUCUGGAGCUGGAUUUGGCGUCUUAAUAAUGGCGCCUUUAGUACAAUACUUGCUGCAAGAAUAUGCAUUGCGCGGCACUAUUUUACUUGUCGGCGGAAUAACGCUUCAAUUUUGCGUGUUGGCCGUGCUCAUGCGACCUCUUACGCGUAAAGACGUGCACGUGAGUACGAAUACUAGCGAGAGCGAAACAGUUGAUCAUGUUGCAGAACUCAAAAAGGCCCAAUUGCCUGCAGAUACAGCACAACUACCUCUUCUAGGGGAGACACCAAAAAUACUGUCAAACCACGAACACGUCAUUCAUGAAAGACAUAGCUACCUCAUGGAGGACAAGAUAUCAAAAUUGAAAUCUCUACAUUUUGGAGUAGAUCGUGCUAAGAAUCAUUUUAUUUCCACUAUUGAUAUACAUUCAAACAAGAUUGAACAAUCGGAUGUUUCAAAUCUUAAAUCCCUUCCUGAUCUCACAAAACUGAAGGUUUCAGAUGCCUCUUGCUCAAGUCCCGAAACAAUGCGUGUCGACGCAAAUGACCCCUGUCAUCAUAACGGGACGGGCAGACACAGCCAUUCCUACCGGCAGAUUGACAAGCAAAACUGUGAUCUUAAACCACUUUUAAGAAAAGACAUUUUUUACAGUGGCAGCUUACAUCACCUCAAAGAGUUCCAGGAGUCCAAGAAUAUGCAAGCGUUUGUUCAAUCUAUGACUAUUCCCGAUCCAAAAGUAGAAGCAAAAGGCGAGUUUAAUGCUAAUGCUUUAGAAACAGAAACGAAGCCAUCAAAGAGAUUUAAGCUGCUGGAUAUCUUUAAGACUUCAGUGUAUAUACCAAUGCUGCUAGGGGCCAUUUUUAUUCAGAUGGGACAGUUCAUACCCAGUACUUUCCUUCCGAAAUAUUGUGAACAAAUUGGCAUACAAAAUGAUAAGGUGUCGGCCAUUAUUGCUAUAUAUGGUGCAGUGAAUAUAUUUGGGCGACUCAGUGCAGGUGUCCUGGCCAACUUCCCCGUUAUAUCACCGCUUGGCUCUGCAAUGGCUCCGUAUUCCUGUGUGCCGUCAGCUGUGCUCUGUUCCCACUGUGCACCUCAUUUGCUACCCUCUGCGUGUUCGCAGUGGGAUUUGGAUUCUUUAUAGGCUAUUUCCCACCCCUUCAAGUGUUGAUAAUGGUCGAGUACCUGGGUAUUGAACGUCUCACAAUGUCCUUCGGCUUCCUCCAGAUGGCCAAGGGGCCUGCGGCAUUGGUUGGCCCUCCCAUAGCUGGUCUUGUGUACGAG